GAUGAAGAACGUAGCGAAAUGCGAUAAGUAAUGUGAAUUGCAGAAUUCAGUGAAUCAUCGAAUCUUUGAACGCACAUUGCGCCCGCCAGUAUUCUGGCGGGCAUGCCUGUUCGAGCGUCAUUUCAACCAUCAAGCCCCAGGCUUGUGUUGGGGACCUGCGGCUGCCGCAGGCCCUGAAAACCAGUGGCGGGCUCGCUGUCACACCGGGCGUAGAGAUUUUAUCUCGCUCAGGGCGUGCUGCGGGUUCCGGCCGUUAAAAAGCCUUUUUUACCCAAGGUUGACCUCGGAUCAGGUAGGAAGACCCGCUGAACUUAAGCAUAUCAAUAAGCGGAGGA
RNAcentral lists this unclassified non-coding RNA (335 nucleotides) under soil metagenome. Its description in RNAcentral is "partial contains 5.8S ribosomal RNA, internal transcribed spacer 2, and large subunit ribosomal RNA". The stretch from base 1 to 120 matches the Rfam family "5.8S ribosomal RNA", at positions 35 to 154 of the family's 154-position model. The record is from RNAcentral.